AGCUACCUGCAGCCGAGCGGUAUUUAUUCUUCGGAAUAGAGAGAGCGGCGUACGGGUGCGGAACACGUGUGCAACCUGCCUUUAUCAGGGGGAUAGCCUUUCGAAAGGAAGAUUAAUACCCCAUAAUAUUUAAGAUGGCAUCAUUUUAAAUUGAAAACUACGGUGGAUAAAGAUGGGCACGCGCAAGAUUAGAUAGUUGGUGAGGUAACGGCUCACCAAGUCAGUGAUCUUUAGGGGGCCUGAGAGGGUGAUCCCCCACACUGGUACUGAGACACGGACCAGACUCCUACGGGAGGCAGCAGUGAGGAAUAUUGGACAAUGGGUGAGAGCCUGAUCCAGCCAUCCCGCGUGAAGGACGACGGCCCUAUGGGUUGUAAACUUCUUUUGUAUAGGGAUAAACCUAGAUACGUGUAUCUAGCUGAAGGUACUAUACGAAUAAGCACCGGCUAACUCCGUGCCAGCAGCCGCGGUAAUACGGAGGGUGCAAGCGUUAUCCGGAUUUAUUGGGUUUAAAGGGUCCGUAGGCGGAUCAGUAAGUCAGUGGUGAAAUCUCAUAGCUCAACUAUGAAACUGCCAUUGAUACUGCUGGUCUUGAGUAAGGUAGAAGUAGCUGGAAUAAGUAGUGUAGCGGUGAAAUGCAUAGAUAUUACUUAGAACACCAAUUGCGAAGGCAGGUUACUAUGUCUUAACUGACGCUGAUGGACGAAAGCGUGGGGAGCGAACAGGAUUAGAUACCCUGGUAGUCCACGCUGUAAACGAUGCUAACUCGUUUUUGGGUUUUCGGAUUCAGAGACUAAGCGAAAGUGAUAAGUUAGCCACCUGGGGAGUACGAACGCAAGUUUGAAACUCA
RNAcentral lists this ribosomal RNA (850 nucleotides) under uncultured bacterium. RNAcentral describes it as "bacterial SSU rRNA". It matches the Rfam family "Bacterial small subunit ribosomal RNA", at positions 49 to 903 of the family's 1533-position model. The record is from RNAcentral.